Molecule: non-coding RNA, 26 nt
Filed under: Homo sapiens (human)
Lineage: Eukaryota; Metazoa; Chordata; Mammalia; Primates; Hominidae
Source: RNAcentral
UGCUCCAUCGGAAGCUUUGGCAUGGA